Molecule: long non-coding RNA, 620 nt
Organism: Bufo bufo (common toad)
Lineage: Eukaryota; Metazoa; Chordata; Amphibia; Anura; Bufonidae
Exons: 3
Source: RefSeq, a predicted model, not a curated record
AGAGAAGUGUGCACAGUGACUGCAGCUCUGGAGGGCACUAGAGAAGGUGGCACAGUGACUGCAGCUCUGGAGGUGACUGGAGAAGUGCGCACAGUGACUGCGGCUCUGGAGGUGACUAGAGAAGUGCGCACAGUGACUGCAGCUCUGGAGGUGACUGGAGAAGUGCGCACAGUGACUGCAGCUCUGGAGGUGACUGGAGAAGUGCGCACAGUGACUGCGGCUCUGGAGGUGACUAGAGAAGUGCGCACAGUGACUGCGGCUCUGGAGGUGACUAGAGAAAGAAGUGCGCACAAUGACUGCAGCUCUGGAGGUGACUAGAGAAGUGCGCACAAUGACUGCGGCUCUGGAGGUGACUAGAGAAGUGCGCACAGUGACUGCAGCUCUGGAGGUGACUGGAGAAGUGCGCACAGUGACUGCGGCUCUGGAGGUGACUAGAGAAGUGCGCACAGUGACUGCGGCUCUGGAGGUGACUAGAGAAGUGCGCACAAUGACUGCAGCUCUGGAGGUGACUAGAGAAGUGCGCACAGUGACUGCAGCUCUGGAGGUGACUAGAGAAGUGUGCACAGUGACUGCAGCUCUGGAGGUGAGUAGAGUAGUCCCCACAGUGACUGCAGCUCUGG